RNAcentral lists this ribosomal RNA (353 nucleotides) under Mesomycoplasma ovipneumoniae. RNAcentral describes it as "Mycoplasma ovipneumoniae partial 16S ribosomal RNA". It matches the Rfam family "Bacterial small subunit ribosomal RNA", at positions 87 to 397 of the family's 1533-position model. Lineage: Bacteria; Bacillati; Mycoplasmatota; Mycoplasmoidales; Metamycoplasmataceae. The record is from RNAcentral.
UAUAUUUAGUAGCAAAUGGGUGAGUAACACGUACCUAACCUACCUUUUGGACUGGGAUAACCAUUGGAAACAGCGGCUAAUACCGGAUAUAAUAAAAAAAUGCAUGUUUUUUUAUUAAAAGAAGCCUUUAAAGCUUCACCAAAAAAUGGGGGUGCGCAACAUUAGUUAGUUGGUAGGGUAAAGGCCUACCAAGACGAUGAUGUUUAGCGGGGCCAAGAGGCUGUACCGCCACACUGGGAUUGAGAUACGGCCCAGACUCCUACGGGAGGCAGCAGUAAGGAAUAUUCCACAAUGAGCGAAAGCUUGAUGGAGCGACACAGAGUGUGUUACUCACCCAUUUGCUACUAAAUAUA